UAAAUGUCUAGGCUUGUUUCACUUCCUCUCCUUUGUACUUCUGAAUAUAAUAUUUAAUUUAAUCUUAUACAUUGGAAACGAAAGAGAUAGAAUUUACGUUGGUAGCAUGUGUAAAAGCAAACCAGUUCUGCGCACUUCAUAUGCUGGAAUAGUUACAUGCAUACAACUGAGGAGUUUGAUCUUCACUUGCCUAGACAGUUCAUCAUGGGGAAACUUCGUUGAAUGCACCAAAAGAAACAUCUGAAAGAUAACUAAGUUAACUAGGUUCUGUAUGUCUUGUUAUGCUUGUGAUUUCCGACAACAUUGGAACUUACUUUCAUGGUUUGUCAAAUUGACCAAAGAUGAUGCUAGAAAACUGGUUUGUUAUGAUGUAUGACCAUACAUUUCAAUGAAUUGUUGCUAAUGUUUUGUUAUACAUUUGUGCUUAGUAGAUUUUAGAGUAUCCUCCUAAUAGUUGAGAUCAAACAAGCUUUAUGUAUCUGAGGUAGUGAUGUAAUACUGAGAAAUUCCAAUCUAUCCAUUUCUCAAACUAAAUGAUUUCUAAGAUAUCUGGUAAUUCUGUUCUACAAUGGUUAUUAAAUAAUUUAUUUUCUGAGCUAAAUACUUAGUAAAUUCUAUGGUCGUGUUCUGACUUCACUACUUCAGCACCUUUCUAUCAUUCUAGUUUGAUUUUCUACUAGUAGCUAAAUUCUUAGUAAAUUCUAGCAUUGUUGUGAGCUUUGAUAUAUACAAUUAUGGUUUCUGUCAUCAUAGUGUUUGAUUUGAUGUGUGAAUUUAAGGAUUUUUUGAAUCUACUCUUGGUCUUAAUGUGUCUCUUGGAAGGACUUUUUACCUAAUAGAAUUGACUAUUAGUUUAUUAUCGUUUCAUGAUUUACUUAUUAUGUCGUCAUAAUCUAGAAAAUGUCAUACUAACAUAUGUGCUCACUCUGUGAAAUGAUGGCUGCUAUUUGAUAUAACAGAGAAACUUCUUUGUGAAAUGAUGGCUAGGGGUCUAUCAUAAGAGUAAAACAAGUCUGGACGUAUUGCAGCAGCUACAGUCUGUUAAUAUCAGCCCUGUUAUCAUUUUUGUAUUUUAAAGAUGUGUGUAAGAUAUAGCUUAAUUUCAAAAGAGCUGGUUGUAAAUUUCUGGAAGUUGGUGUCCAAUUAUUUCAAGUGUUGCAUGGAAGACUCCAAUGAUUCCACUACCAAGGUAUGAUCCAAUUAUGCUUCGCACAAAACAAGAAAGCACUUGCAAAAUGUUUCGUUCUUACGACAAACAGCUCCUCGCAAAACAAGCACUUGUAGCACUUAGAAUUGGUUGCUUACAUGUGCUCUGCUGCAUUUUUUAUUUCUAUUGCUCUAUCUUAUCUCUUUGUUGAAAUUGUUUCUAUGGCUUUCCUUUCAUAUCCCAACAGGUUUAUCUGUAAAAUUCUUCGAGUUUGUGAAAAAUGUGUUACAUUUGUUUUUGGACCCGCACAAAAUCUUUUAACUAAAUCCCAACUUAAAAGCUCAAUCUUUCGUCCCAUAAAUGUAACUAAAAUGGUAGCUACCAGAGAUAUUAUUGGAGUGGCCGGGGUUCGAACCCCGAAUUCCACACUUCUCCACAUUUAAAUGUGUGAGAGUCUAGCCACUAGGCUACUUUGACAAAAAAAAAAAAAGAUCUUAAUCUUUCAUUAGUUAAUUUUAAUCACAUAUUCAUAUUGGAUAAAAAUAAUGGAUGAAAGCUUGUCAAAGCAAAAUGACAUUUAAACAAACUGUAUAUAUGCCUUUUCUUUUUCACAUAUUCACUAUGGUU
Trifolium pratense (red clover) is the source of this 1774-nucleotide long non-coding RNA. RefSeq lists it as uncharacterized. The record is from RefSeq and is a predicted model, not a curated record. Lineage: Eukaryota; Viridiplantae; Streptophyta; Magnoliopsida; Fabales; Fabaceae. The transcript is spliced from 4 exons.